GAUGAACGCUGGCGGCGUGCCUAAUACAUGCAAGUCGAGCGAACGGACGAGAAGCUUGCUUUUCUGAUGUUAGCGGCGGACGGGUGAGUAACACGUGGAUAACCUACCUAUAAGACUGGGAUAACUUCGGGAAACCGGAGCUAAUACCGGAUAAUAUUUUGAACCGCAUGGUUCAAAAGUGAAAGACGGUCUUGCUGUCACUUAUAGAUGGAUCCGCGCUGCAUUAGCUAGUUGGUAAGGUAACGGCUUACCAAGGCAACGAUGCAUAGCCGACCUGAGAGGGUGAUCGGCCACACUGGAACUGAGACACAGUCCAGACUCCUACGGGAGGCAGCAGUAGGGAAUCUUCCGCAAAGGGCGAAAGCCUGACGGAGCAACGCCGCGUGAGUGAUGAAGGUCUUCGGAUCGUAAAACUCUGUUAUUAGGGAAGAACAUAUGUGUAAGUAACUGUGAACAUCUUGACGGUACCUAAUCAGAAAGCCACGGCUAACUACGUG
RNAcentral lists this ribosomal RNA (497 nucleotides) under uncultured bacterium. RNAcentral's name for it is "partial 16S ribosomal RNA". It matches the Rfam family "Bacterial small subunit ribosomal RNA", at positions 28 to 507 of the family's 1533-position model. The record is from RNAcentral.